This 283-nucleotide long non-coding RNA is filed under the name Salvia miltiorrhiza (redroot sage). RNAcentral's name for it is "long non-coding RNA (SMIL_LNC000933)". Lineage: Eukaryota; Viridiplantae; Streptophyta; Magnoliopsida; Lamiales; Lamiaceae. The record is from RNAcentral.
UUUGGGUGUUCAAUUGCUCAUAGUUUUGUGUAAAUAGCUGUUGUAAUUGUAAAUUUUGUGUCAAUAGCUCAUCAAGCAAAUCAGUUAGCUGCUGUAGCCUGUAAAUAGCUUCUGUAAAUUACUAGAUUUUGUGAAAAUAGCUGUUGAUUGGUGUAAAUUUUUGUGUGCAUAGCUGCUGUAAAUAGUUGCUGUGAAUUGUGAUAGAGUGUGAUUUUGAAAGAGUAUUUUAAUUUUGUAAAAUAGUUGCUGGUGUAAAUAGUUAUGUUAGAUGUAAAUAAUGGCU